GAAAUGCGAUAAGUAGUGUGAAUUGCAGAAUUCAGUGAAUCAUCGAAUCUUUGAACGCACAUUGCGCCCGCCAGUAUUCUGGCGGGCAUGCCUGUUCGAGCGUCAUUUCAACCAUCAAGCCCCGGGCUUGUGUUGGGGACCUGCGGCUGCCGCAGGCCCUGAAAUGCAGUGGCGGGCUCGCUGUCACUCCGAGCGUAGUAGUUACAUCUCGCUCUGGGCGUGCUGCGGGUUCCGGCCGUUAAAAGCCUUAUUUACCCAAGGUUGACCUCGGAUCAGGUAGGAAGACCCGCUGAACUUAA
Molecule: unclassified non-coding RNA, 299 nt
Filed under: uncultured fungus
Lineage: Eukaryota; Fungi
Description: sequence contains ITS1
Rfam family: 5.8S ribosomal RNA (bases 1-105)
Source: RNAcentral